AUCUUUCGCCUCACUCAACACAACUCUGCAAAUCUUCAACCCGGCAGCCCAAUUCCCAUAUCAACAACCCAUGCCAAUGCCAAGGUUUCCACCAAGCGAUUCGGACGAAGAAGAACAACAACCACCUCCUCAGACUUAAGCGAUAGCAGAGAAGUCCUCACGUACUUAUUUUGACUAUUCAUCCAAUGAGGACAUUGUAUUACUUAAGUUUGG
RNAcentral lists this long non-coding RNA (213 nucleotides) under Panax ginseng (ginseng). RNAcentral describes it as "long non-coding RNA (PGIN_LNC015894)". Lineage: Eukaryota; Viridiplantae; Streptophyta; Magnoliopsida; Apiales; Araliaceae. The record is from RNAcentral.